Long non-coding RNA from Vombatus ursinus (common wombat), 1856 nucleotides. RefSeq lists it as uncharacterized. The transcript has 4 exons. The record is from RefSeq and is a predicted model, not a curated record. Lineage: Eukaryota; Metazoa; Chordata; Mammalia; Diprotodontia; Vombatidae.
AGCGGCGCAGACCACGGAUCCGUCCCUCCUUCACCCCAGCCAGGCGCUAACGGGGCAGAAACCUUGGAAGAGGCUUUUUCAGGGCAGGGGCUCAGAGGCCAGAGAGUCAUCUGUUGUCCUGGCCCACAUGGUCCAUCUACAGAGAAAUCAAAGCUACACAUCUGGUUCGAUCUAAAACUCCGAGGAAACCAGAAGAUGAGGAACCUGAGGACAAGGGAAGUUGAUUGACCUAUGCCAAGAUCACACAGCUAGUAAGUGUCGGAUGCAAGAAAGGAACCAAGGUCCUCUAAUUCCAGAGAACAACAGUGAGUUUGGAUGAUGCCUAUUAGGGAUGCCGGGUAGGACCUUCCUUUAAUGGGUGAGCAGCUGGACGUGAGGAUGCCAAGGCUUCUUUCACAGUUUCAGAUCUGGGUGGUUAUUAGGUAGAGCUGAUCAUUGGAAAGUGACAACGGUGCUAUUACUCAGUCAAGACCUUCACUAAAGAACAGAGAUGUCCAUGGUCCACUGAUGAAGCAUGAUGCACAGCAGAGAGCAGCAAUGACAUCACCAUACAUGUGAUCAGAGAUGAUACAUGUCAUCUCCAGCAAUAUGGGUGCCUUGCAGCUGUAUGUGACCUGAACACAUGUGUAUUUGACAAGCGUGUUCCCCUUCACAUAUAUUUUCUGAUCAAGUGUGUCCUCUGUAUGAGGCCCUUUACCCAUUGCUUUUAUGGAAACUUGUGAAUGUGACCCACGUGCACAGGAAUAUUUUCCACGUCACCUAUCUUGCUAUGUUAGUAAAUUAAAUCCUUUGCUUUAAUCUAAUCUAUCAUUUGUGGCUAACUUGGUAAAAGUAAAUACAUUGUUAGGGUCUUCUGAAUUUCACUUCUCAAAGGAUGCUAACCUAUACCCAUAGAAACCCACCCUGUGUGGAGGAAGUAAGGUAAGAGCCACAAUUACAAUACACAAUACUAGAUAAGUGAAUCAUCAGAGAGUUACAUACAGAGUACUAGGUGAUGGCAUCGAUGUGUGGUAUAAGAGCACUGAAUUGGGGUUCAGGAGGCCUGAGUUUGCCACUUACCAUCUGUCUGCCCUUGAUCAGGUCUCUUAGGUUUAACCUAUUACUAAUGUAACAGGAUUGGCUCCUCUUACCCUGAGCAGGCAUGAAGCCUGAAGCUAGAGUUCAUGGUGAGUGUAAUGAGGGACUGGCCAAUGAGCCCAAUCCUUACAAGUCUGUGCAGAGUGCUCAGCUGAUGCAAUUCCCACACGGACUUUGGAACAUUGGUAGACAUUCCGUUACUCAUUCCAGACCUCUAACCAUGUGUUGAACAGGAGCUUCUGUGAUUGGCUAUGGCUCUGUGGCCACAGCUAAAGAUGCAUCCAAAAGGCACUAGAUGACCAGAACCUCCUUCUUCUCUUGGGGUGACCUUUUUCUGCUUGUCAUUGUUCCAGUGAGAGAAUUGAGACAAUGAUGUAAGGGGAGAGCCCAGCUCUCCCUGUCAGAAGCCAAGAUGAAUACGGACUUUGGUUCUUUGCCUUGGGAUUUUUGUUCUUUCAUUUUAGGUGAAGGAGAUUGGAGUAUAUAGCCUUGUGAGUUUCGAAAGGUCAGGAGAAAAAACAACCAGCAGAUCUGGGAAUAGAUGAUUAGCUAGAGUUUAUAGCCAUCCAGUCUAGCACUGAGGCCCAGAGGAAUGAGGAAUGACCUCCAGGACCCAGCCCACUAGUAGUUGAGACAAUGGUUCAUCCAGAAGUGAUUCUGCAUUUGGACUAGAUACAGGAAUAUAAUGGUAAAUGUUUAACAACCUGCUCUCUGGGGGGGAAAAUGCAUGCAUGAUAGAUUCAUGUUUAAUCUGUAUUAACAUCAUCAUUUUCUUAAGU